Molecule: transfer RNA, 75 nt
Filed under: Candidatus Zambryskibacteria bacterium RIFCSPHIGHO2_01_FULL_49_18
Lineage: Bacteria; Candidatus Zambryskiibacteriota
Also listed under: 1 other name
Description: tRNA-Cys
Rfam family: tRNA
About the family: Transfer RNA (tRNA) molecules are approximately 80 nucleotides in length.
Source: RNAcentral
GGCGUAGUGGCGAAGUGGUAACGCUUUGGUCUGCAAAACCAACAUGCGCGGGUUCGAUUCCCGCCUACGCCUCAA